GCCACAGACGUGACCCGCACUCCCUGAGCCGUAUCCAUAGCAACAAGCAUCGUCAGGUGAAUGCAGGAGGAGGUUAUUCUGUCCUGACCCAUUUCACUCCUACGUAAAACUCUGGAUUCAAAGCACAACGAAAUUUAAAUCCGCUCAUAGGCAAAGCAGAAACUGCCGCUGUCCUUCGCCCCUCUCCCAGCUCCUCCUCCUCCUGCUGAGUCUUGUUCUUCCUCGGCCUCGGAGACGUGUCACAUUUACAUCACAUUACUCAGUCUGAGAUGAUGAGAGUGCCGUGUACCCGUCAGCUCUGCUGCAGGUGAAGAGGGUUCACACACACACACACACACACACACGUUACAGUUAGCUUGAGAGAGCUCACACCCUGCAUGUAUGCAGCAUCACUCUGAGGUUCAUGGGAAAUGAGCGCUUCACCGUACAGCAGCCAUGAAAAUCGUCCUUCAUCUUAAAAACAGCUUUGUGUCAUCGCCGCACACCGAACGUCGUCCAAACGUUCAGGCUGUUUGAGGUGACACGCCGUCAGAGCUACAUGGCGUUACAGACGCC
Oreochromis aureus is the source of this 555-nucleotide long non-coding RNA. Lineage: Eukaryota; Metazoa; Chordata; Actinopteri; Cichliformes; Cichlidae. The record is from Ensembl.